RNAcentral lists this ribosomal RNA (330 nucleotides) under uncultured bacterium. RNAcentral describes it as "bacterial SSU rRNA". It matches the Rfam family "Bacterial small subunit ribosomal RNA", at positions 568 to 898 of the family's 1533-position model. The record is from RNAcentral.
UUCGUAGGCGGUGCGGCAAGUCGGGAGUGAAAUCUCUGGGCUCAACCCAGAGGCUGCUUCCGAAACUGCUGUGCUUGAGUGUGAGAGAGGCUCGUGGAAUUGCAGGUGUAGCGGUGAAAUGCGUAGAUAUCUGCAGGAACACCCGUGGCGAAAGCGGCGAGCUGGAUCACUACUGACGCUGAGGAACGAAAGCUAGGGGAGCAAACAGGAUUAGAUACCCUGGUAGUCCUAGCCCUAAACGAUCAGGACUUGGGGUGCCGCCCGUUCGGGCGUCGUCCCGGAGCUAACGCGUUAAGUCCUGCACCUGGGGAGUACGGUCGCAAGACUGAA